This 468-nucleotide ribosomal RNA is filed under the name uncultured bacterium. Its description in RNAcentral is "partial 16S ribosomal RNA". It matches the Rfam family "Bacterial small subunit ribosomal RNA", at positions 28 to 507 of the family's 1533-position model. The record is from RNAcentral.
GACGAACGCUGGCGGCGUGCUUAACACAUGCCAGUCGAACGGAAAGGCCCUGCUUUUGUGGGGUGCUCGAGUGGCGAACGGGUGAGUAUCACGUGAGUAACCUGCCCUUGACUUUGGGAUAACUUCAGGAAACUGGGGCUAAUACCGGAUAGGAGCUCCUGCUGCAUGGUGGGGGUUGGAAAGUUUCGGCGGUUGGGGAUGGACUCGCGGCUUAUCAGCUUGUUGGUGGGGUAGUGGCUUACCAAGGCUUUGACGGGUAGCCGGCCUGAGAGGGUGACCGGCCACAUUGGGACUGAGAUACGGCCCAGACUCCUACGGGAGGCAGCAGUGGGGAAUAUUGCACAAUGGGCGGAAGCCUGAUGCAGCAACGCCGCGUGCGGGAUGACGGCCUUCGGGUUGUAAACCGCUUUCGCCUGUGACGAAGCGUGAGUGACGGUAAUGGGUAAAGAAGCACCGGCUAACUACGUG